UACAGAGGCCCCAAGCGUUACCCGGAAUUACUGGGCGUAAAGAGUGCGUAGGUGGUCAUGUUAGUCGGUCGUUAAAUGCCCAGGGCUCAACCUUGGGAAUCCGGUCGAAACGGCAUGACUCGAGGGCGCGAGAGGUGAAUGGAACUCAUGGUGUAGGGGUGAAAUCCGUUGAUAUCAUGGGGAACACCGAAAGCGAAGGCAAUUCACUGGCGCGUUCCUGACACUCAAGCACGAAAGCGUGGGUAGCGAACGGG
RNAcentral lists this unclassified non-coding RNA (254 nucleotides) under Candidatus Kaiserbacteria bacterium. RNAcentral describes it as "contains 16S-23S intergenic spacer region". It matches the Rfam family "Bacterial small subunit ribosomal RNA", at positions 524 to 776 of the family's 1533-position model. The record is from RNAcentral. Lineage: Bacteria; Candidatus Kaiseribacteriota.